AAGAUGAGUCCGCGGCCCAUUAGCUUGUUGGUAGGGUAACGGCCUACCAAGGCUGCGAUGGGUAGCCGGCCUGAGAGGGUGAUCGGCCACAUUGGGACUGAGAUACGGCCCAGACUUCUACGGAAGGCAGCAGUUAAGAAUCUUGCGCAAUGGGCGAAAGCCUGACGCAGCGACGCCGCGUGGACGAUGAAGGCCUUCGGGUUGUAAAGUCCGGUAAGCAGGGAAGAAUAAGUUUCGUUGAAUAAGCGGAACGAUGACGGUACCUGCCUAAAGCCCCGGCUAACUACGUGCCAGCAGCCGCGGUAAUACGUAUGGGGCGAGCGUUGUUCGGAAUUAUUGGGCAUAAAGGGCGUCUAGGCGGGGAAUUAAGUUAGGUGUGAAAGCCAUGGGCUCAACCCGUGAAUUGCAUCUAAAACUGAUUCUCUUGAGUUCGGGAGAGGAGAGCGGAAUUCCUGGUGUAGCGGUGAAAUGCGUAGAUAUCAGGAAGAACACCAGUGGCGAAGGCGGCUCUCUGGCCUAGAACUGACGCUGAAGCGCGAAAGCGUGGGGAGCGAACGGGAUUAGAUACCCCGGUAGUCCACGCCGUAAACGUUGUGUACUAGGUGUUAGUGCUUUAAGCACUAGUGCCGACGCUAACGCAUUAAGUACACCGCCUGGGGAGUACGCCCGCAAGGGUUAAACUCAAAGAAAUUGACGGGGGCCCGCACAAGCGGUGGAGCAUGUGGUUUAAUUCGAUGAUACGCGAAGAACCUUACCAGGGCUUGAACUGUUUCUGACAGGUGUAGAGAUACACCCUCCUUCGGGCAGAUUCAGAGGUGCUGCAUGGUUGUCGUCAGCUCGUGUCGUGAGAUGUUGGGUUAAGUCCCGCAACGAGCGCAACCCUUACUCCUUGUUGCUAUCAGGUCAUGCUGGGCACUCUAGGGGAACUGCCGGUGAUAAACCGGAGGAAGGUGGGGAUGACGUCAAAUCAGCACGGCCCUUAUGUCCUGGGCUACACACGUGCUACAAUGGCCGGUACAAUGAGUUGCGAUGCCGCGAGGUGGAGCUAAUCUCAAAAAACCGGUCUCAGUUCGGAUUGCAGUCUGCAACUCGACUGCAUGAAGCUGGAAUCGCUAGUAAUCGGAGAUCAGCACGCUCCGGUGAUACGUUCCCGGGCCUUGUAC
Molecule: ribosomal RNA, 1163 nt
Filed under: uncultured organism
Description: bacterial SSU rRNA
Rfam family: Bacterial small subunit ribosomal RNA
Source: RNAcentral